GAGGCUAGUCACAAGAUCCGAUCUGAAAGACGUAAAGCUUCAUGACGCAAUAAUGCGUGACGAAUCGAGGGGAAGGCAUCAUACAAGUACCAUCCAUUCACGUGGCAUGCCGAGACUAGAUCAGCCUCGUACGAAGUCCAACAGAUUUUAUAAUUUCCUGUUAAUUGUGUGAUGUGAUAAAUAUGAUUCAAUUUUUGGCUGUCGCACUCCUUUGGCGUAUCAUGGGACGACGGAAGGCAAAGUUUUCAACGUAGAUAUCAGAAACGGGAGUACCUAUAUAAAGGUCGGUGUUUGGCCGACUUCACAUGUAUAAAAGAUCUCGCUAGACGCUCAGGAAUAAGAGGUCGCGUAAGACGUAAGCUGCGAGGUCUUUGUAACGGCUACGAGAGCCCCAGCUAUAUAAGGAGUCGCAGUCCUACCGAUAGCUGUCCCAAUACGCACCCGCUCGGUUCUCCCUCCGGCUUCUCCUGAUACCAGGACUGUUCUUGGCAUCCAUGGAGAUGCAGCCUUUGUGGCGCUUAAAACUGUUCUUGAAAUCAAACCCCAUCUCGUCUCUCCUCUCCUCUGCUUGUCUUCUCUUCUUGAACGAUGGGCGAGGCAACUCUGGAAGGCCUGCCGUACCGUAGGCAACCAGUAUGCAGCCAUUGUUGGAUGAAGAGGUCGCGGAAGGGGAAGGGAAGGGGGAUUUUUUGGCAACUGGAUGCAGCCGCUUAGGCUUGUAGUUCAAAGACUUGAUGACUCCCAACACGAUGCUGGAUUAAGCGGUUACUGCUGCAGCAUAUUGGAGAUCAGACAUGAUUUCUGAUGCAUGGAUGGGGUCUGUUAGAUGCAGGAGUCAUCAGAGCCUCAAAAUCCUACUUCACAGCUCUUUCACUGAUCCAUAUUCAUUGGAUAUGCCUAAGACUAUUACUAUUUGUGGAAACAAAGGUGCCUUCAAAGACUUUGGUUGAUCUUUAUUAUGAGGCUUUUGGAAGAACUUGGAUGGUUGCCUCUUCAAUGGUUAUCAUUGCACGGAAAGAGAUUUAUACAUAUAAGUCUUCUUUCAUUCUUUUUUUUUUUAAAAUAAUUCUAAUGAUCUAUAUUUUUUGUGAAGCUUUGGUGAAUUUUUCCCAAUGGUAGACAAAUAUUUUUGUUGUUUCCUCUUAGCAAGUCUAUUGGAAAUGACAAGGCAGGAGUACACCACAGGGUAUAUAAAGGAUUACAUUGCUACCGACAGCUGACCCAUUACCUGCCUGCUCAGUUCUCCAGCUUCCCCUGAUAUCAGAGUGGUUCUUGGCACCUAUGAAGGUUUAUUUUAUUAUCCUAGGACUCCUCUCUUCUUCUUCUUCUUCUUCAGCUUCUCCUUGUCUUAUUCCUAUCACAUGUUAGCUAAUUCUUGAACCAAAUGCAGCCUUUUUGCAGCUUAAAGCUGUUCUUGAAAAUGACUUCCAUCUCGCAUCGAACAAUCUCCAGCGGAGUGGGGGCCCUCAUGGUCAGAGGGGGUAGCUACGCUAGUGCCCCCCCCCUCAUGGUCAGAGGGGGUAGCUACGCUGGUUGCCCCCCCCCUCACUCCUUUUUCUUACCAAAAAAAAAAAGAAAAGAAAAGACUUCCAUCUCGUCUCUCCUCUCCUCUGCUUGUCUUCUCUUCUUGAAUGAUGGGCAAGGCAACUCUGGAGGGCCUGCAGUUUUUCAGGCAGCUAGUCUGCAGUCAUUGUUCGAUGGAGAGGUCACUUGAGGAGGGGAGUUCUUUCGGUUUCAGUCUCAUCCAUUCAAGAGUACCGUGGAGCCUCUGAGCCCUGGGUCUUCUCUUCUGGAAUGAUGGGCAAGGCAACUCUGGAAGGCCUGCUGUUUUUCAGGCAACCAGUAUGCGGCCAUUGUUGGAUGGAGAGGUUGCUUGAGCAGAAGAGCUCUUUUGGUUUCAGUAUCAUCCAUUCAAGGAUACCAUGGAGCCUCUGAGCCCUAGAGUCGAGCUGGUUGUAUGCUGAGCAUUCAAACAAUGGAAUUAGUGGAACCAGUUAUCUUAACUUACUCUGUGACCUUUACCAUAAUGAUAAGGGCCCUAUCAGUUCUAGCCUUGAAGCCAAUGCAAUACUAGUGAUUGUGCUCCAAUUUCAGAAUGAAACGCAACAGCUCAAAUAGAAUAGUAAGAUUAUGUUUGAAAGCCUCGUAUUUACCAAAAAAGGAAACAGCCAUGGAAAAAUGCACUUUUGAAAGAGGCAAAAGGCUACACGGUAUUUAAGAAGGAGCUCUGUCAGAGGGACAGCAAGAUUAGACCCGCAGAACUGGGUCCUUCUCAUAAUUUCUCUAUUUCUUUUGAUGUACUGCAGGAUGCGGUUUGCCACUCGGUGCAGGGAUUGGUGCAUUGCUGGUAUGCCACAUCCCAGAAGGGUGGUGCCUCGAAUGACGAACACGUGUGGCUCUCACCAGUCAACUCAUGCCAUGUGGCAUGUUAGUUAUGCUUUUAGCCGGCGGAUGAUAAAUUAGGUAGUGUAAUGGUAGCACAGAUAUCUCACAGAAAUGUUAAAUAACUAGAGGCAAAAGUACAAUAGGAAGAGAUGUAAAGGGGAGAGAAAAGUAGAUCCUGGACAUUUAUUUAGAGGGCUUGAACAGGAACAUGGUAUAGCCCUCUCUCCUGAAAAGGCACUUUGCAUCAUCACUUUAUUCACUUCUUUCCUCUCCUCUGCGUGCCUUUUCUAGUGGUUGGCAGGGCAAUUAUAGGUGUCCUGUUCUGCAAAAACCAAUUUGCAGCCAAUGUUCUUACAUGUCAUCCCUUAACAGGGGAAAAAUCACCUAUAAUUCUAGCAUUUGUUGGAAGUCCAUAUGUAAUUUAAACUAGUCCUCAGCACUCGGGAUGCCAGACUAGUUGCUUGCUUUCUUGCACAUCCCCCAACAAGAAAACUCUCUACCACUGACAUUUGUUGUGGUGUUAUAUUAAGAUUGCUUCUGUCAUAUUUGACACUAGUUCCAGCACUUGGCACGCUGAGAAUAGUUCAGAUUUAAUGUUUGCAUGCUCACACAAAACCCCACCAUAAGAUUCAAAAAUUAGAUAAAAUUUUCUUCUGCUAUUACUAAUAUGGGUUAGAUUUCAGAUUGAACAGGUAUUCGAAGGAAAAGAGGGAGAAGAAGGGGACUUGUGGGAUUGGUAGAUGAGCUGGGUGCUGCCACUGGCAUUGCUGAAUGAAUUUCUUCUUCUUAUGCUUUUUUGAUCCCAAGAAACAGAAUGGAUUCAUUCUAUCUUUACAUUUGCUGUCUUUCAUAAUAAAUGGAUUAAUUUGCUGGUAGAUAGCGUAUAGAUCUUAGAAUGGCCCAGUUUGAAUUAUGUGAAGAUCUCAGAAUGACUCAGUCUGAAUUUUGUUACAAAGGUCAAAUUUUAUUUUUUAUAUUUUAUAACUAUGUAGUGGCUUUUGUUUGAUAUGGUUAAUAUUUCCCUGUUUGGAGAGUAGUGCAGGGGGUUACCAUCCAGCUACUCGGUGCUAAGCAGUAUAUUUACCCUUUGUGGCUCAAUAUUUUAGCAUGGAUGAGAGUGUGACCUUGUGUUUACUUUUUGCUAAUGUUGAACCAAUUUUAGCUUGUAAUGGAGUUUAUGCCACUCUCAACAUAUUGUUUCCACUGUUGUGCUACUUGGUAUCAAAAUCUUGUGAUUAGAGAUAUGAUUAUGAUGUUAAGCACCUAAAAGUGCAACAAUAUUGUUUCCAUUGUUUGUGGCUCAAUAUUGUUUCCACUGCAGAAAGCAAUAUUUUUCCACUCUUAUCUUGCCUUACAAAUAUUAUAGAACUUUACAUUAGUAAUGUAUGUGGAUACCAUCUGUCUACCCAUUGCUGAGUAGUACCUUACCCUUUACAACUCAGUCUUAGCGAGUACCAUCUGGCUACCCAUUGCUAAGUAAUACAUUUACCCUUUAUAGGUCAAUGUUGGAGAGCGGAUAAUAGUGUGACCUUAUGCUUUUGUUUUUUCUAAUGUUGACCAAUUUUAGCUUGUGAUGAUGUUUAUGCAACUCCCAAGAAAUUGUCUCCACUCUGAUGGCACUUAGUGUCAAAAUCCCAUGAUCAGAGAGAUAACUAAUACAACGCUUAGCACUAAAAGUGCAAGCUGCAGAAAAGUAAUCUCAUCUCAUUCUUAUUUCAUAUUACAAAAACUAUAACAUAUUAAAUUCGAAUUGGUAUUUUUGUCAGGUAAUUGUUUCUGGAAAUCGACAAUCUUUAUAUACUAAGAUCGUUGAGAGUGCAAUGGCAUGAGGACCUGAAGUAAGUUUUCUCCUGUUGGUGAUUGUUGUAAUUGCUUUAUUCAUUUUAAUUUAAAGCAUGUGGCACGCAUGAACAGAGUUGAACUUUUGCAUGGACCAAGAUAAGUAGUCUUGAUAUCAAAUAUUGUAGCAUAUGACUAUAGGUUAAGUAUUUAAACAGCAGCUGAAUACAUUUUUUUUUUUUUAACGAUGACUUAAGGGGGACAUGGUUAUGCCUAAUAGUGAGUCAUUGGACUGACAGAUAAGUGCUUCUUGGUUAUUGCAUCUGUAAAUGUUGUUAUUUUGAUUGACCUUAUGAAAAUAAUAGCAGGGUGCAAGAAUCUUGGCCCAGAGUCCGUGUAGGUUUGUGACAAUGGAAGGUUAGUAAAAUGAAUUUAAAAAUGUGACGACUGAUGAGGAACCUGCUACUUAUUCAUUGUUGGGUGCAUUGCUCAGUUAUUUCACUCAUACGGAAGUCAAAAGCUUUCAAUAGCGUGCACCAAGAACGGAUCAGAUGCUUGGAGAAUUUUUUGGAGAAUUGUUUCAUGCACUUGACAUAAAUUCGUGAUGACAGAAAAUGCAGGAAAUGUGGCUGAAUAACUAAUAUCAGUGGAUAUUUUUUUUCCUAAGGCUGUUAUACUAGCAUAUAAGCCUGCAAAUUAGUUAAAGCAAUACUCGCGUAAAAUUCAAAUUAAUUUGGAUCAAAUUCUCUUAGAAUGGACUUAUUUUAUGUAUCAUUAGUAGUGGUUAGACCUAGAUUCACUGUACCAGUGAGUACUGCCCUGCACCAUGGGUAUCGGAGUGAGACUUGGUACACCCCACGAACUGACCCCUGUACUGGAACACCGUGCAAGCGUGAUGCUGGUAUGGGGUCAAGUACCAAGAUUGCAAACCAUGGGUUAUAUUAAUGGUGUUGUGCUCUAGAUAAUAAAGGGUAAAAGAAAAUGACUAAAUUUUGAAACAACAAAAUAGACUGAAGCAUGCUGGUUAAUAUUUUUGCUGGAAAGGUACAUCUUCAUCUAUUAAGAUCC
Elaeis guineensis (African oil palm) is the source of this 5232-nucleotide non-coding RNA. Lineage: Eukaryota; Viridiplantae; Streptophyta; Magnoliopsida; Arecales; Arecaceae. The record is from RefSeq and is a predicted model, not a curated record.